UUAAAUUGAAGAGUUUGAUCAUGGCUCAGAUUGAACGCUGGCGGCAGGCCUAACACAUGCAAGUCGAGCGGCAGCGGGAAAGUAGCUU
RNAcentral lists this ribosomal RNA (88 nucleotides) under Aeromonas veronii. RNAcentral's name for it is "partial 16S ribosomal RNA". It matches the Rfam family "Bacterial small subunit ribosomal RNA", at positions 1 to 85 of the family's 1533-position model. Lineage: Bacteria; Pseudomonadati; Pseudomonadota; Gammaproteobacteria; Aeromonadales; Aeromonadaceae. RNAcentral also lists the same sequence under 1 other name. The record is from RNAcentral.